UUGGCCUCCCAGAGCGCUGGGAUUACAGGCGUGAGCUACCACAACCGGCCAAUACUCGGUUCUUCUAAGUAGGAAGAAAGUAACAUUUUGCUACCUAAUUUCUUGGCCUUUCAAGCCCACCCUGGACUAAGGCCCUGAGGUACUCAUGAUGGCUGAGCAGGAAGGGCCUGCUAUUGUCAUAAAGGGGAACCAAGGUCCAUGGCGGAAAAAGGUGGUUUAUCCUUAAAAGGGUGUUCUCUGUGAGUGACACUCCAAAGCACCUUCACUAACCCAUCUGGGUCCCCACAGUGUGAGGUAGGACAGGGUUGCUUCUGUCUCCCUCUGCCAGGCUUUCCUGGGGAAUUUUAAAGGGACAAAUUCUCUUCCCAGGAUUGGGGGUGGAGGGAACCCAGGAGCUAUAGGCACCUGUAAACCCAAUUUAAAAAUCAGUCUAGCCAACCAGCCCCCAAAGGAACCAGAGGGAGCUAUAGAGUAACUCAAAAGCAGACACUAAUGGAGGAGAAAAGAAAUGUAGUUACAUAUUCAUGAGCUUUUAAAUAUUCAUGAGGAUUGUAAAGCAGAUUAAUUUUCAUGCCUCAUUUCUCCCGAGGUUCCCGCUGUCCAUAUUUUACCACAGCAAGAGAAGAAGAGGGAGCGAUGGAUCACCUGGCCACUGCCCUUACCAUCACUUAAGGAGCAGCAUGCGGUGAAGAGAGAAGAAAGAGGACCUUUACCAGAGUCAGCAGGAGCUCCACCUCCACUCCCCUCAACUCAUGGUCUAGAUGAAUGAUUGAGUGAGGUGAGGGAGCGGAGGAGAGGGCAUGCAGAGGGGCGGAGAGGCAUGAAAGACACCGAAGGACAAAGGGAAGGGGCAAGAAACAGAGGCGGACAGAAGCCAUGGGCGAGGAGAAAGCAAAAGGGAGGCAUCCCCUUCUGACCAUGAAGGGUUAACCGCUGUAGAAAUUGCCCAUCUACCCAGCACUUUGGGAGGCCACGGCGAGCGAUCACCUGAGGUCAGGAGUUCGAGAUCAGCCCAGCCAACAUGGUGAAACCCUGUCUCUACUAAAAAUACAAAAAUUAGCCAGGUGUGGUAGUGCUCGCCUGUAAUUUCAGCUACCUGGGAGGCUGAGGCAGGAGGAUGGCAUGAACCCGGGAGGCGUUGCAGUGAGCUGAGAUUGAGCCAUUGUACUCCAGCCUGGGUGACAAGAGUGAGAUUCUGGCUCAAAAAAAAAAAAAAAAAGGACAAAGAAACUAUUCAUCUAAUGCAAACAACUGAACACUGGAUGAAAUAUAGGGCUUGGUGUGAUGGCUCACGCUUAUAAUCCCAGCACUUCGGGAG
RNAcentral lists this long non-coding RNA (1318 nucleotides) under Homo sapiens (human). RNAcentral's name for it is "HSALNT0365205". The record is from RNAcentral. Lineage: Eukaryota; Metazoa; Chordata; Mammalia; Primates; Hominidae.